CAAGGGGGGGGGCGUGGCUUAAUAAUGCAAGUCGAACGCACAGCGAAGGUGCUUGCACCUUUCAAGUGAGUGGCGAACGGGUGAGUAACACGUGGACAACCUGCCUCAAGGCUGGGGAUAACAUUUGGAAACAGAUGCUAAUACCGAAUAAAACUUAGUGUCGCAUGACAAAAAGUUAAAAGGCGCUUCGGCGUCACCUAGAGAUGGAUCCGCGGUGCAUUAGUUAGUUGGUGGGGUAAAGGCCUACCAAGACAAUGAUGCAUAGCCGAGUUGAGAGACUGAUCGGCCACAUUGGGACUGAGACACGGCCCAAACUCCUACGGGAGGCUGCAGUAGGGAAUCUUCCACAAUGGGCGAAAGCCUGAUGGAGCAACGCCGCGUGUGUGAUGAAGGCUUUCGGGUCGUAAAGCACUGUUGUAUGGGAAGAACAGCUAGAAUAGGAAAUGAUUUUAGUUUGACGGUACCAUACCAGAAAGGGACGGCUAAAUACGUGCCAGCAGCCGCGGUAAUACGUAUGUCCCGAGCGUUAUCCGGAUUUAUUGGGCGUAAAGCGAGCGCAGACGGUUUAUUAAGUCUGAUGUGAAAGCCCGGAGCUCAACUCCGGAAUGGCAUUGGAAACUGGUUAACUUGAGUGCAGUAGAGGUAAGUGGAACUCCAUGUGUAGCGGUGGAAUGCGUAGAUAUAUGGAAGAACACCAGUGGCGAAGGCGGCUUACUGGACUGCAACUGACGUUGAGGCUCGAAAGUGUGGGUAGCAAACAGGAUUAGAUACCCUGGUAGUCCACACCGUAAACGAUGAACACUAGGUGUUAGGAGGUUUCCGCCUCUUAGUGCCGAAGCUAACGCAUUAAGUGUUCCGCCUGGGGAGUACGACCGCAAGGUUGAAACUCAAAGGAAUUGACGGGGACCCGCACAAGCGGUGGAGCAUGUGGUUUAAUUCGAAGCAACGCGAAGAACCUUACCAGGUCUUGACAUCCUUUGAAGCUUUUAGAGAUAGAAGUGUUCUCUUCGGAGACAAAGUGACAGGUGGUGCAUGGUCGUCGUCAGCUCGUGUCGUGAGAUGUUGGGUUAAGUCCCGCAACGAGCGCAACCCUUAUUGUUAGUUGCCAGCAUUCAGAUGGGCACUCUAGCGAGACUGCCGGUGACAAACCGGAGGAAGGCGGGGACGACGUCAGAUCAUCAUGCCCCUUAUAACCGGGGCUAACACCGGGCUACAAUGGCGUAAACAACAAAUUUGCCAACCCGCGA
Molecule: ribosomal RNA, 1247 nt
Filed under: Leuconostoc mesenteroides
Lineage: Bacteria; Bacillati; Bacillota; Bacilli; Lactobacillales; Lactobacillaceae
Description: bacterial SSU rRNA
Rfam family: Bacterial small subunit ribosomal RNA
Source: RNAcentral